UGGCGGCAGGCCUAACACAUGCAAGUCGAACGCUGUAGCAAUACAGAGUGGCAGACGGGUGAGUAACGCGUGGGAACAUGCCCUUCGGUUCGGAAUAACUCAGGGAAACUUGAGCUAAUACCGGAUACGCCCUUAGGGGGAAAGAUUUAUGCCGAAGGAUUGGCCCGCGUCCGAUUAGCUAGUUGGUGAGGUAAUGGCUCACCAAGGCGACGAUCGGUAGCUGGUCUGAGAGGAUGAUCAGCCACACUGGGACUGAGACACGGCCCAGACUCCUACGGGAGGCAGCAGUGGGGAAUAUUGGACAAUGGGCGCAAGCCUGAUCCCAGCCAUGCCGCGUGAGUGAUGAAGGCCCUAGGGUUGUAAAGCUCUUUCGCCAGGGACGAUAAUGACGGUACCUGGAUAAGAAGCCCCGGCUAACUUCGUGCCAGCCGCCGC
Molecule: ribosomal RNA, 435 nt
Filed under: uncultured bacterium
Lineage: Bacteria
Description: bacterial SSU rRNA
Rfam family: Bacterial small subunit ribosomal RNA
Source: RNAcentral